This 239-nucleotide ribosomal RNA is filed under the name uncultured bacterium. RNAcentral describes it as "partial 16S ribosomal RNA". It matches the Rfam family "Bacterial small subunit ribosomal RNA", at positions 28 to 268 of the family's 1533-position model. The record is from RNAcentral.
GACGAACGCUGGCGGCGUGCUUAACACAUGCAAGUCGAGCGGUAAGGCCCUUUCGGGGGUACACGAGCGGCGAACGGGUGAGUAACACGUGGGUGACCUGCCCUCAGCUCUGGGAUAAGCCCGGGAAACUGGGUCUAAUACCGGAUAUGACUUCAUGACGCAUGUUGUGGAGUGGAAAGCCUUGUGCGGCUGAGGAUGGGCCCGCGGCCUAUCAGCUUGUUGGUGGGGUGAUGGCCUAC